Molecule: ribosomal RNA, 504 nt
Filed under: uncultured bacterium
Lineage: Bacteria
Description: partial 16S ribosomal RNA
Rfam family: Bacterial small subunit ribosomal RNA
Source: RNAcentral
AUUGAACGCUGGCGGCAGGCCUAACACAUGCAAGUCGAACGGUAGCACAGAGAGCUUGCUCUCGGGUGACGAGUGGCGGACGGGUGAGUAACGUCUGGGAAACUGCCCGAUGGAGGGGGAUAACUACUGGAAACGGUAGCUAAUACCGCAUAACGUCGCAAGACCAAAGUGGGGGACCUUCGGGCCUCACACCAUCGGAUGUGCCCAGAUGGGAUUAGCUAGUAGGUGGGGUAAUGGCUCACCUAGGCGACGAUCCCUAGCUGGUCUGUGGGGAUGACCAGCCAAACUGGAACUGAGACACGGUCCAGACUCCUACGGGAGGCAGCAGUGGGGAAUAUUGCACAAUGGGCGCAAGCCUGAUGCAGCCAUGCCGCGUGUAUGAAGAAGGCCUUCGGGUUAUAAAGUACUUUCAGCGGGGAGGAAGGCGGUGAAGUUAACAGCUUCACCGAUUGACGUUACCCGCAGAAGAAGCACCGGCUAACUCCGUGCCAGCCGCCGCCGUAA